Molecule: small nucleolar RNA, 135 nt
Organism: Pteronotus mesoamericanus
Lineage: Eukaryota; Metazoa; Chordata; Mammalia; Chiroptera; Mormoopidae
Source: RefSeq, a predicted model, not a curated record
CUUCAUCCUUACCGAAGCUGCAGCUGCUUCCACAGAGCUGCUGUGGUCGAAAAGGAGCCCAGAGUGACAGUUUUCCUUGAGGGUCGUCAUUCUGUUUUCUGUAACUGAUGUGCAACAUUGUGGGAAAAGACAGAA